CGAGCGCUUCACUUCGGUGAGGAGCGGCGGACGGGUUAGUAACGCGUGGGAACAUACCCUUUUCUAAGGAAUAGCCACUGGAAACGGUGAGUAAUACCUUAUACGCCCUUCGGGGGAAAGAUUUAUCGGUGAAGGAUUGGCCCGCGUUAGAUUAGUUAGUUGGUGGGGUAAUGGCCUACCAAGACUACGAUCUAUAGCUGGUUUGAGAGGAUGAUCAGCAACACUGGGACUGAGACACGGCCCAG
This 245-nucleotide ribosomal RNA is filed under the name uncultured bacterium. Its description in RNAcentral is "partial 16S ribosomal RNA". It matches the Rfam family "Bacterial small subunit ribosomal RNA", at positions 63 to 334 of the family's 1533-position model. The record is from RNAcentral.